CCUACGGGAGGCAGCAGUGAGGAAUAUUGGUCAAUGGACGAGAGUCUGAACCAGCCAAGUAGCGUGAAGGAUGACUGCCCUAUGGGUUGUAAACUUCUUUUAUAUGGGAAUAAAAUGUUCCACGUGUGGGAUUUUGUAUGUACCAUAUGAAUAAGGAUCGGCUAACUCCGUGCCAGCAGCCGCGGUAAUACGGAGGAUCCGAGCGUUAUCCGGAUUUAUUGGGUUUAAAGGGAGCGUAGGUGGAUUGUUAAGUCAGUUGUGAAAGUUUGCGGCUCAACCGUAAAAUUGCAGUUGAAACUGGCAGUCGUGAGUACAGUUGAGGUGGGCGGAAUUCGUGGGGUAGCGGUGAAAUGCUUAGAUAUCACGCAGAACUCCGAUUGCGAAGGCAGCUCACUGGACUGCAACUGACACUGAGGCUCGAAAGUGUGGGUAUCAAACAGGAUUAGAUACCCUUGUAGUC
RNAcentral lists this ribosomal RNA (460 nucleotides) under uncultured bacterium. RNAcentral's name for it is "partial 16S ribosomal RNA". It matches the Rfam family "Bacterial small subunit ribosomal RNA", at positions 338 to 795 of the family's 1533-position model. The record is from RNAcentral.